UGGAUCGAUGAUGACUCCUGGUGGCGUAUGAGUCAUGUAUGAUGAAUAUGUGUCUGGAACUUCAAGCUCCAA
Small nucleolar RNA from Pteropus vampyrus (large flying fox), 72 nucleotides. Lineage: Eukaryota; Metazoa; Chordata; Mammalia; Chiroptera; Pteropodidae. The record is from Ensembl.